Dicentrarchus labrax (European seabass) is the source of this 431-nucleotide long non-coding RNA. RefSeq lists it as uncharacterized. The record is from RefSeq and is a predicted model, not a curated record. The transcript has 3 exons. Lineage: Eukaryota; Metazoa; Chordata; Actinopteri; Moronidae.
CGCUAACCGCUACAGCUAACUGCUACGCUAACCGCUACAGCUAACUGCUACAGCUAACCGCUACAGCUAACCGCUACAGCUAACUGCUACGCUAACCGCUACAGCUAACUGCUACGCUAACCGCUACAGCUAACUGCUACGCUAUACAUGGCUGCUAUGCUAACUGAUACGAACGAACUAAGUAAUCGUUCAGUCAGUGGAGAGGUUCCUGAAAAACACUUUAUGAACAGAUAAAAUCUGCUUUAGAGCAGGAAGAGGUCUGUAGGUCUGUACUGAGUCUGUAGGUCUGUAGGUCCUUUAGUGAAGAGGUCUGUAGGUCUGUACUGAGUCUGUAGGUCUGUAAGUCCUUUAGUGAAGAGGUCUGUAGGUCCUUUAGUGAAGAGGUCUGUAGGUCCUUUAGUGAAGAGGUCUGUAGGUCCUUUAGUGAAGAG